GACGAACGCUGGCGGCGUGCUUAACACAUGCAAGUCGAACGAUGAAGUUCCUUCGGGAAUGGAUUAGUGGCGAACGGGUGAGAAACACGUGAGAAACCUGCCUUUCAUUUUGGGAUAACUCCGGGAAACCGGAGCUAACACCGAAUACUCCGUCUCGGCGGCAUCGCUGAGCCGGGAAAAAAUUAUGAUGAAAGAUGGUCUCGCGGCCUAUCAGCUAGUUGGUGAGGUAAUGGCUCACCAUGGCGACGACGGGUAGCCGGCCUGAGAGGGCGGCCGGCCACACUGGGACUGAGACACGGCCCAGACUCCUACGGGAGGCAGCAGUGGGGAAUAUCGGGCAAUGGGCGCAAGCCUGACCCAGCGACGCCGCGUGAGGGAUGAAGGCCUUCGGGUUGUAAACCUCUUUUCUCAAGGAGGAAGAUCUGACGUUACUUGAGGAAUAAGCAUCGGCUAACCCUGUGCCAGCCGCCGCGGUAA
RNAcentral lists this ribosomal RNA (477 nucleotides) under uncultured bacterium. Its description in RNAcentral is "partial 16S ribosomal RNA". It matches the Rfam family "Bacterial small subunit ribosomal RNA", at positions 28 to 523 of the family's 1533-position model. The record is from RNAcentral.